UACGUAGGCGGAAAAUUAAGUCAGUAGUGAAAUCCUGCAGCUUAACUGUAGAACUGUUAUUGAUACUGGUUUUCUUGAAUAUAGUUGAGGUAGGCGGAAUGUGUAAUGUAGCGGUGAAAUGCUUAGAUAUUACACAGAACACCGAUUGCGAAGGCAGCUUACUAAGCUAUGAUUGACGCUGAGGUACGAGAGCGUGGGGAGCGAACAGGAUUAGAUACCCUGGUAGUCC
This 229-nucleotide ribosomal RNA is filed under the name uncultured bacterium. RNAcentral describes it as "partial 16S ribosomal RNA". It matches the Rfam family "Bacterial small subunit ribosomal RNA", at positions 568 to 796 of the family's 1533-position model. The record is from RNAcentral.